Cyprinus carpio (common carp) is the source of this 1221-nucleotide long non-coding RNA. The record is from Ensembl. Lineage: Eukaryota; Metazoa; Chordata; Actinopteri; Cypriniformes; Cyprinidae.
GUGGCCUAAUGGUUAGAGAGUUUGACUCCUAACCCUAAGGUUGUGGGUUCGAGUCUCGGGUCGACAAUACCACAACUGAGGUGCCCUUGAACAAGGCACUGAACCCCCAACUGGUCCCUGGGCGCCACAGCAUAAAUGGCUGCCCACUGCUCUGGGUGUGUGUUCACGGUGUGCGUGUGUUCACUGCUGUGUGUGUGCACUUUGGAUGGGAUAAAUGCAGAGCACGAAUUCUGAGUAUGGGUCACCAUACUUGGCUGUAUGUCGCGUCACUUUUUUUUUUUUUUUUUUGUAAAGAUGAAGGUAGUAGAGUCAUGCUGGAAACCCUAGAAUCUUCACAGGAACAUGGGAAACAACAUAGUGCUCCAUGCUAAACUAGACAUCACUAAAAGGGACAGAAUCGGAUAAAAGUGUCUGCUAAAUGACUUAAUGUAAAUGUAAAUGUAGAAGGAAUAAGAAUGGACUUUAACAUGAUUGGAACGUGUACAGGUGCAAAAUGAUGGAAUGUGGAGACAGAGUAUUUCCUUCACCAGCCAUAUUUUUUUUACUAACUAAAUAAAUAUUAUUAUCAUGAUGACAGGCUGGCAUUUCAACCAUUUUCCUAUAGUCUUUCUUCCAUAGGUUACUUUUGCAGUUCCAGCUGCUGUCACAUGGGGGAGAUAGAGUAAAGCUCAAAAAUCAGACCUCCAUACAUGAAAGAGCUAAGAAGAGGUUGUGUACUGUGAGAUCUCCAUCGAUCAGUUAGACACAGCAGCUGCUGCUCACAACAACAAAUAACUUUGUGAUCUAUAAUGCAUUUUCUAAUCCGUGCAUCUGCACACUCGUUCAUCUCCGUGAUUGGCUUCACGUCGAAGAUCAACAGCUCCUUCGGUCCCUGCAGACAGGGUCAUGAUUCUGCCUGACAAUAAGACAGUGAAUCUGGAGUAUCCAAAACAACUGCGACCUGGAGACAAGGGGAUAGAGAUGGAGAAGAAAUCAGACAUCAUUUCCAAGCUCUGCCCAAUGGUGCCCCUCAACUGCCGUCAGUUUUGGGAAAACCUGGCUGAGGAGGAGUGAACAUUUGGGAGAACAGAACAAACCACACACACACCCACUGGUGAUGGAAAUUUUGAUUCUUUCAAGAGAUUCGUUCGUUUUCAGGUCGUUCACCAAAAUGAUUCGUUCAGAUUCGUUCACAGAUUCGUUCAGUAACCAUUUCUUCAAAUUACAUAUAUUAGCCAGCAG